RNAcentral lists this non-coding RNA (91 nucleotides) under Pseudomonas mandelii. Lineage: Bacteria; Pseudomonadati; Pseudomonadota; Gammaproteobacteria; Pseudomonadales; Pseudomonadaceae. The record is from RNAcentral.
GUUCGCGGCGGCUGUGUGCGGGACACGCUUCGGCGUGACCGAGGUUCAUGAGUGCUCGGUACUCCUACUCCUGCGCAUGGCUGCCACCCAA